UUUCGCAUUGGGCUUACGUGCCACAAUGCCGUUACCCACCGCAUGCAGCAAGUGCGUUUUACCUAAGCCAGUGCCGCCAUA
Non-coding RNA from Enterobacter sp. 638, 81 nucleotides. It matches the Rfam family "antisense RNA of dnaA mRNA". Lineage: Bacteria; Pseudomonadati; Pseudomonadota; Gammaproteobacteria; Enterobacterales; Enterobacteriaceae. The record is from Rfam.